UGGGGAAUAUUGGACAAUGGGCGCAAGCCUGAUCCAGCCAUGCCGCGUGAGUGACGAAGGCCUUAGGGUUGUAAAGCUCUUUUGGCGGGGACGAUAAUGACGGUACCCGCAGAAUAAGCCCCGGCUAACUUCGUGCCAGCAGCCGCGGUAAUACGAAGGGGGCUAGCGUUGUUCGGAAUUACUGGGCGUAAAGCGCACGUAGGCGGACUUAUAAGUCAGGGGUGAAAUCCCGGGGCUCAACCUCGGAACUGCCUUUGAUACUGUAAGUCUCGAGUCCGGAAGAGGUGAGUGGAAUUCCUAGUGUAGAGGUGAAAUUCGUAGAUAUUAGGAAGAACACCAGUGGCGAAGGCGGCUCACUGGUCCGGUACUGACGCUGAGGUGCGAAAGCGUGGGGAGCAAACA
Molecule: ribosomal RNA, 402 nt
Filed under: uncultured prokaryote
Description: bacterial SSU rRNA
Rfam family: Bacterial small subunit ribosomal RNA
Source: RNAcentral